UUUUGAGAGUAAGUAUGUCCCAUGUAAUGUUUGGAAUAUACUUAUGCUAAAA
RNAcentral lists this microRNA precursor (52 nucleotides) under Sus scrofa (pig). RNAcentral's name for it is "mir-1302 microRNA precursor family". It matches the Rfam family "mir-1302 microRNA precursor family". Lineage: Eukaryota; Metazoa; Chordata; Mammalia; Artiodactyla; Suidae. The record is from Rfam by way of RNAcentral.